GCUGUGGCCAUUGAUUGACACAUUAAAUUCAUCCAUUGACUGGGACAAUUUACGUGAACGUUUGUCUGUAACGACCACCGUUCACGACGUACCUACGAUAGACAUUUAAACUGUGGGGUCACCAAAGGUUUCUUAACGCCUUUAAUUAUAAAAUAAUUCGAAAAAUUAAUCAGGAAUAACCUUUAUGUUUUGAUUUAUAUAAUU
RNAcentral lists this long non-coding RNA (204 nucleotides) under Mytilus galloprovincialis (Mediterranean mussel). Lineage: Eukaryota; Metazoa; Mollusca; Bivalvia; Mytilida; Mytilidae. The record is from RNAcentral.